Molecule: long non-coding RNA, 208 nt
Filed under: Selaginella moellendorffii
Lineage: Eukaryota; Viridiplantae; Streptophyta; Lycopodiopsida; Selaginellales; Selaginellaceae
Description: long non-coding RNA (SMOE_LNC000650)
Source: RNAcentral
UUCCAGAAGCCCCUCAACGCCUACCAGUACCUCCCCUGGACGUCGGUUCACCCAUGGCACCAGAAAGUGGCAUUUAUCCGCAGCGAGCUCCGGAGAUACCUCCUCCGUGAGAGCACGGCCCAUGGAUUCCAUGCCAUGCGCAUGCGGUUCUACCACCGCCUCUGUGUCCAGGGACACCCGAUCUCCUUCCUCCAACACUGCCUCUCUA